This 253-nucleotide ribosomal RNA is filed under the name uncultured bacterium. Its description in RNAcentral is "partial 16S ribosomal RNA". It matches the Rfam family "Bacterial small subunit ribosomal RNA", at positions 524 to 776 of the family's 1533-position model. The record is from RNAcentral.
UACGUAGGGUGCAAGCGUUGUCCGGAAUUAUUGGGCGUAAAGGGCUCGUAGGCGGUCCAUCACGUCGGGAGUGAAAAGCUGGGGCUUAACCCCAGUCCUGCUUCCGAUACGGGUGGACUAGAGGUAGGCAGGGGAGAACGGAAUUCCUGGUGUAGCGGUGAAAUGCGCAGAUAUCAGGAGGAAUACCGGUGGCGAAAGCGACUCUCUGGACGGCAACUGACGCUGAGGCACGAAAGCGUGGGGAGCAAACAGG